CUACGGGGGGCUGCAGUGGGGAAUACUGCACAAUGGAGGAAACUCAGAUGCAGCAACGCCGCGUGGAGGAUGACACUUUUCGGAGCGUAAACUCCUUUUAUAUAGGAAGAAGAUGACGGUACUAUAUGAAUAAGCGCCGGCUAACUCCGUGCCAGCAGCCGCGGUAAUACGGAGGGCGCAAGCGUUACUCGGAAUCACUGGGCGUAAAGAGCGUGUAGGCGGAUUAAAAAGUCAGAAGUGAAAUCCUAUAGCUUAACUAUAGAACUGCUUCUGAAACUCUUAAUCUAGAAUAUGGGAGAGGUAGAUGGAAUUUCUGGUGUAGGGGUAAAAUCCGUAGAGAUCAGAAGGAAUACCGAUUGCGAAGGCGAUCUACUAGAACAUUAUUGACGCUGAGACGCGAAAGCGUGGGGAGCAAACAGGAUUAGAUACCCUGGUAGUC
RNAcentral lists this ribosomal RNA (439 nucleotides) under uncultured bacterium. RNAcentral describes it as "partial 16S ribosomal RNA". It matches the Rfam family "Bacterial small subunit ribosomal RNA", at positions 339 to 795 of the family's 1533-position model. The record is from RNAcentral.